Gossypium arboreum is the source of this 737-nucleotide long non-coding RNA. RefSeq lists it as uncharacterized. The transcript has 2 exons. The record is from RefSeq and is a predicted model, not a curated record. Lineage: Eukaryota; Viridiplantae; Streptophyta; Magnoliopsida; Malvales; Malvaceae.
GUCAAAGCUUUCUCAUGACUCCAUGAGAGGCUGACGUUUGUCUGCAUUUUCCCCUCCCCACGUUCUAUAAAUACAGGCCUGCUCUUCUCACAAGCUCCCCCCACCACUCACCAACAUUGGGGUUUUUUUCUCUCCUUUUUUUUUUUAAAAAUUUCAGUAUGGAAGAAUCUGUUAAGCUCAGGAGGGAUAGCGCCAUGGAUGAUCCAUCUUUCAAGCUUUCAUGCAUGUAUUUUAUUUGAUCCUCAUAUAGCGCUAUCCAUCCUGAGUUUCAUCGGUUCUUCUUGCUUGCUGUCGCUCCGUUAGCUGAAAAAGGAACACACAAAAAUCUUGUGGGUUCCACGAAUCCACUAGAAAGGGGGAGAAAGUGUUGAAGAAAAUUCCCCUUUGUUGUAUAAAUUGGAGAAACAAACAAAUAAGGGGCCUUAUAUUUGUGGACAUAAUUAGUUUGGUCCUCUAAUGCACAUGCGGAAAUGAUGCUUCUGCUUGUAUUUGGUGUUACGGAGAGGCACUGUCGCUGUUAUAAAUUAAGUAAUAAACACUAUUAUGUGCAUGAAAUUAUUGAAAGGAUGUAAUUUGUCUUAUUGUAGCAGUGGACAUUGAAUGAGAGUGGAGAGUAUGGCAUGUGCUUAGGUGCAGCCUGCAGGUCUCCUUUUGCUUUUACUGGCCUUUACCAUGCUCCAACUAAUGGGGGUUGACAUGAUAUUCCGAUUUAUAAUAAUAAUAUUAUUAUUGAAUAA